This 886-nucleotide ribosomal RNA is filed under the name uncultured bacterium. RNAcentral describes it as "bacterial SSU rRNA". It matches the Rfam family "Bacterial small subunit ribosomal RNA", at positions 8 to 853 of the family's 1533-position model. The record is from RNAcentral.
AGAGUUUGAUCCUGGCUCAGGACGAACGCUGGCGGCGUGCCUAAUACAUGCAAGUCGAGCGAGCUUGCCUAGAUGAUUUUGGUGCUUGCACUAAAUGAAACUAGAUACAAGCGAGCGGCGGACGGGUGAGUAACACGUGGGUAACCUGCCCAAGAGACUGGGAUAACACCUGGAAACAGAUGCUAAUACCGGAUAACAACACUAGACGCAUGUCUAGAGUUUGAAAGAUGGUUCUGCUAUCACUCUUGGAUGGACCUGCGGUGCAUUAGCUAGUUGGUAAGGUAACGGCUUACCAAGGCAAUGAUGCAUAGCCGAGUUGAGAGACUGAUCGGCCACAUUGGGACUGAGACACGGCCCAAACUCCUACGGGAGGCAGCAGUAGGGAAUCUUCCACAAUGGACGAAAGUCUGAUGGAGCAACGCCGCGUGAGUGAAGAAGGGUUUCGGCUCGUAAAGCUCUGUUGGUAGUGAAGAAAGAUAGAGGUAGUAACUGGCCUUUAUUUGACGGUAAUUACUUAGAAAGUCACGGCUAACUACGUGCCAGCAGUCGCGGUAAUACGUAGGUGGCAAGCGUUGUCCGGAUUUAUUGGGCGUAAAGCGAGUGCAGGCGGUUCAAUAAGUCUGAUGUGAAAGCCUUCGGCUCAACCGGAGAAUUGCAUCAGAAACUGUUGAACUUGAGUGCAGAAGAGGAGAGUGGAACUCCAUGUGUAGCGGUGGAAUGCGUAGAUAUAUGGAAGAACACCAGUGGCGAAGGCGGCUCUCUGGUCUGCAACUGACGCUGAGGCUCGAAAGCAUGGGUAGCGAACAGGAUUAGAUACCCUGGUAGUCCAUGCCGUAAACGAUGAGUGCUAAGUGUUGGGAGGUUUCCGCCUCUCAGUGCUGCAGCU